Molecule: ribosomal RNA, 1029 nt
Filed under: Epithamnolia brevicladoniae
Lineage: Eukaryota; Fungi; Ascomycota; Leotiomycetes; Phacidiales
Description: LSU rRNA
Rfam family: Eukaryotic large subunit ribosomal RNA
Source: RNAcentral
AGGGAUGCCUCAGUACGGCGAGUGAAGCGGCAAAAGCUCAAAUUUGAAAUCUGGCCUCACGGUCCGAGUUGUAAUUUGUAGAGGAUGCUUCGAACGUGGUCCGGUCUAAGUUCCUUGGAACAGGACGUCAUAGAGGGUGAGAAUCCCGUAUGUGCCCGGGCGCCAUUGUUCAUGUGAAGCUCCUUCGACGAGUCGAGUUGUUUGGGAAUGCAGCUCAAAAUGGGUGGUAAAUUUCAUCUAAAGCUAAAUACUGGCCAGAGACCGAUAGCGCACAAGUAGAGUGAUCGAAAGAUGAAAAGCACUUUGGAAAGAGAGUUAAACAGUACGUGAAAUUGUUGAAAGGGAAGCGCUUGCAAUCAGACUUGCAUGCAGCCGAUCAUCCGGUGUUCUCACCGGUGCACUCGGUUGCAUUCAGGCCAGCAUCGGUUUUGGUGGUUGGAUAAAGGCCUCAGGAACGUGGCUCCCCUCCGGGAGUGUUAUAGCCUGAGGUGCAAUGCAGCCCACCGGGACCGAGGACCGCGCUUCGGCUAGGAUGCUGGCGUAAUGGUUGUAAGCGACCCGUCUUGAAACACGGACCAAGGAGUCUAACAUCUAUGCGAGUGUUUGGGUGUAAAACCCAUACGCGUAAUGAAAGUGAACGGAGGUGAGAACCCUCAAGGGUGCAUCAUCGACCGGUCCUGAAGUCUUCGGAUGGAUCUGAGUAAGAGCAUAGCUGUUGGGACCCGAAAGAUGGUGAACUAUGCCUGGAUAGGGUGAAGCCAGAGGAAACUCUGGUGGAGGCUCGCAGCGGUUCUGACGUGCAAAUCGAUCGUCAAAUUUGGGUAUAGGGGCGAAAGACUAAUCGAACCAUCUGAAAUGUUACUGGAUGUUAAACCACAAGUAGUCUCUCCGGAGGCAACAUCACCACUGUGCGGGAAUGCUUCAUAGCCACCCGCAGCGGGGCCUCGGCCUCGCCCACAGACUAGACGGUGGUGGCCCUCACGGGUUCUGAUAUAGCCGAUUCCACCGCGAGCGCGGUUGGACGCAGAU